Molecule: ribosomal RNA, 408 nt
Filed under: Fusobacteriota bacterium
Lineage: Bacteria; Fusobacteriati; Fusobacteriota
Description: Fusobacteria bacterium partial 16S ribosomal RNA
Rfam family: Bacterial small subunit ribosomal RNA
Source: RNAcentral
UGGGGAAUAUUGCACAAUGGACGGAAGUCUGAUGCAGCAACGCCGCGUGCGGGAUGACGGCCUUCGGGUUGUAAACCGCUUUUUCUCAUGACGAAGUUUUUUUACGGUAGUGGGGGAAGAAGCACCGGCUAACUACGUGCCAGCAGCCGCGGUGAUACGUAGGGUGCGAGCGUUGUCCGGAAUUAUUGGGCGUAAAGAGCUUGUAGGCGGUUUGUCGCGUCGAUAGUGCAAACUCAGUGCUUAACGCUGAGCCUGCUGUUGAUACGGGCAGACUAGAGGAAGGUAGGGGAGAAUGGAAUUCCCGGUGGAGCGGUGGAAUGCGCAGAUAUCGGGAGGAACACCGGUGGCGAAGGCGGUUCUCUGGGCCUUUCCUGACGCUGAGAAGCGAAAGCGUGGGGAGCGAACAGG